UCGAACGUGGCGCGCGGUGCACGCCUGCAUCUUAAAUCUCGCUCGCUCAACUAAGGCAGGAAGCCCGGGUUCGACUCCCGGCGUUCGAA
Non-coding RNA from Mycena metata, 89 nucleotides. NCBI's taxonomy places the organism in Eukaryota, Fungi, Basidiomycota, Agaricomycetes, Agaricales, Mycenaceae. The record is from the annotation of a GenBank genome assembly.